UUUGGUUGUACAUUGUUUAUCAUGAUUAUUUGAUGCAGUGAACAAAUUCAAAAUCUUGAGAUCAUUGCAUAAUUCAUACUAUAUUAUAUUAUAAUGUAAUUUAUUUAUAAAAUAAAACCAUGACACUUAUUGUAUAGCCCAAAUUAUGCCCGGCCCAAAACCAAACUCUAGACCCAAUUACAAAGCCCAAAUCAGCCCACAACCUUAACUAAUUUUCAGCCAAAAAGGAAAACCCUAGCCACCAAAGUCUGUCACCACCCACACCUCCACUUGCUCCACUUGCUCCACUUGCACUGCCUCCAUCCCAUCAUCCCAUCACCUGCAAAACAAAUAGAGAGCAGAAACACGCAAAGCAAAAAAGGGGAAACAAGCAGAAGGCAGAGAAAUCAUGUAAUCGACUAUAAAGUCGAAAGAGAAAAUAAUAAAAAUAGGGGAUUUAUAUUUUCAAAAGGGGGGAACCGAGGAAUUUGUUUCAAGAAAUCGAUUCGGAUACAAAUAAUAAAAGGAGACAGUUGAAGAAGGGAUCAAAAGGGGCUAAGGUCUUUUGAUACUCUUAUUUUUUCUUUCAAAAACUGUUAUUCCUCUUUUUUUUUCUCUUUUUUUUUCUAUUUUACGAAGUUAUUUACAUACAUAUAUAAGAAUGCAAUAAAAAAGAGGAAAAGGAAAGUACCUGGAGUGUUCGGCCACCGUCCAUGGCGGAGGAGUAGCAGUCGAGGCGACAGCGCAACAAAUGGGUUUCUUUUGAAACCCUAGCAGAGAAUGAAAUGGGGAGAAUAGGGCUGCUCUCUCUGUUUUUUUGCAAAAGAAAGGAAAAGAUAAAAAAAAACAUACGAAAUUUUAGAUUAAAAAGCAGUGCAAAAACGGUGUCGUUUUGCACCAUAGGUACCAGCAUUGAAACGGCGUCAUUUAAGGCGACCCGUACUUGGGAGAUCCGCGUGUUUCCGAAUAUUGGGUUAUUUGCGCGGAUAGUCCCUCUUUUUUCUCAGUGCUUGUCAAUCUGGUCUUAUGUUGAUUUUUUCUCUGCUUUUAAUUUGACCCCAUGCUUUUGUUGACUUUUUAAAUAAGGUCCUCCGACCCAUUGACAUGCUGCGAAGUGAACACGUGUCCAGAGGCUGGGUAUUUUACCUAUUUAGUCCUCAAACCUUGCGCAUAUUUUCAUUUUUACCCUGUUCGUUUAUUUUGUUAUAGUAUUCACUUCUAAUUUCGUUUUUAUUCCAAUAUAACCCCUAGUCAGUUUGAUUUUGAUCUUUUUAUUUUUCUUUAUUUAUUCAUAUAUUAUUUAUUUUAAAAGGUAUAGUAUUUCAUUUGUUAAAAUAUUUUUAAAACUGUUCUAUUAUUUAUUCUAAAUCAUUUUGUUGUUACCUUUUUUACUUUUUUUCUCACCAUUCUAUUUAUUUUUAAUAUUAUUCAUACUGCUAUAUUUUAUUAAUGUUACUAUAUUUGUAUUUUAAUACGAGAUAAUCGUGCCCUAACUUACGGGGUUUCGAUUUUUCUCAUUUAACCUAAAUAACGGAGCAUUCUUUUAAAUCACAAUACUAGUUUUGAAAAAUGCUUAUUCUCGGAGAUACGAGGUGUUGUGCCCUAACUCACCGGGUAUGAUAUUUUGUUACCUCGAAAUAAGAUUUUUUACAAGUAAAGGCAAUAUUCAGUGUUUGGAAAUUCGAGGAGACGUGCCCUAACUUACGGGGUUUUAAUUUUCCUUGUUCACCCUAACUAACUGAAUAUCCCUCCGAAAUACACGAUUUUUUAGGUAAAAGACAAACUCAUUCUCAAAAGAUUGAGAUGUUGUGUCCUAACUCACUGGAUAUGACAUUUUGUUGCUUCGAAACGAGAAGGUCUUUAACGUUCGAAUGUUUUUUACAAAAAGAAGGAUUGUAUUUCAAAGUCUUUCAAGUUUUUUUAUUUUUCAACACUAAGACACUAAUUAAUCAACUAGGUACCAAUUUUUGGGCGUAUCGAGGGUGCUAAUCCUUCCUCGUGUGUAAUCGACUCCCGAACUCAUUUUUUGAUUUUCGUAGACUAGAGAUUAUCGUUUUAGUAAAUCUUAACUCUUAUUAAAAUGAUUAAUUUGAGGUGACCCGAUCACACCUCAUCAAAAAGGAUUGGUGUCGACUCCUGUUUUUUUGUUUUCAUUUUCAAAUCCAAGUCGAUUCCCGUUUUUCAAAAAAAAUGGUUACGAUAGCUUGGCGACUCCACUGGGGACCCAAAUAAGACAGUCAAGCCACAAGUUGAUUAACUUUUGUCUUUUUGUCGAAAAUUGAAAAUUUGAUUUUGAUAUACGAUCCUUUCAUUGCAUUUCACCCGUUUUUCUUGCGGUUUUCAUCAUUUUAUUCCUAUUUUCUUUAAUCGCUUCGGUUUUUUUAUGCAUAUAUCCUUGCACAUUGCAUUGCAUGACCGCUAUGGUCACACCCCUUUAAGUGGAAGUGAGAAACUACUCCUUCGUGAGGUUUUCAUCUCCGUGCAGGAUAGUGGAUCGCUUUUGGGAUACAUCCGUACCUAUGUCUUCGUGAGAUUUUCAUCUCCGUGCAGCUAUAGGGAAAUGUAUUCCCCUGAACUGAACUCGGUCUGUAUGAGCCUAUAAUGGGUGAAGAUCAAGGAAUCUGCUGGUUCAGGUACCUUUACUUUAGAACCAAACCCCAUGUAGCGAGCCUUAAGAACCCACCCUAGGUAGAGCUACUUUGAACCCCUAGUGGUCACCCGAAUUACUUUAUUUGUUAUUUAUUUAUCCUGCACUAAUGUGUUUUGUUUUUGUUUUAUUUAUAAUUGCAUUGCAUUUCAUCAUCAUAGGAAGGGGGUGUUGAUUCAUAUUUGAUUGCUAAAUAGAAUAGUUUGUCAUAAGAAAAUAAUUUUUUUGAUAAAGUGGAUUAUAACACGGUUGUCUAAAUAUAGUCCAAGUAAACAUAAUGAAACAAGGCUGAUAGUCCGCGAAGACAUACAAGACUUUGCUUCAUUGCCUGAGAAUGCAAGCCGACAAAGAUUGUUUGAGAGCAGUAAUGGCUUAAAGAAGCUAACAAGUAUCGUGGGGAUAAGUGAGCAACGAGUUGCAGCCUGGAUCAAGCAAAAGGAGUCAAUGGAGACAUCUUUUAGAAAGUUCACAAGACUUGACCAUAAGAUCUGGAUAUGAAGAGGAAAAUAGGUGUCUUCACUUGGAAUAUGAGAGAAAGGCCGUAUAUGUAGUCCGUUUUAUGUAAAAGAAUUUGUUUUCUAGAAAAGUUGUUCUAAUGAAAUUGAAUUCAGAAUCAAUGCCUUCCUUUCUUUUGCAUUCAUUCAUGUAUUUGCAUUGCAUUGCAUCAUUUGCAUUAGACUUCCCCUAAAAGAACCCUAAUUAGGUGAAAUUAUUUCAGUUAGCCUGGGAACCGACAAAGGUCAAACGACUAGGCAUCUUUAUGGUACACGGAAAAAGAUAAAAGAUAUGGAUCAAAGAUUGAAAAGACUUAAACAACUUCAAAGAGAGACGCAAGACCUGCUACAAAUGCAAAAGCAAGAGCAGCUAGCAAAGAUCCAACAAGAUAUAAGGGACCAAAUGCUAGAGUCCCAAAGGAAUACGAUGAAUCAAUUGUCCCAAUUACUGACUAAUGGGUUAGGAAGAGGAAAAAACUCCAUGAUCAAUGCUGGGGAGGACAAUGAUGAGCCUUUAUACCCUCCGGGUUUCACCUCGAUAAACGAUCAGACAUGUCCGCAAGAUGUACCUAUUACUAUCAGAUCACAACAUCAGGACGGUACCUCGGUACUCAUGAACUACCCGACGGGCUCAGGUUCCAAUCCAAGGAACAGUCUAACCAAUCAUGAAGUUCCUGAUCUAGACGAAAUGGAAGGAAUAGAAAAAGCAAAGGUUGAACUGGCAAGACAACUCGAAGAUCGAUAUAAGUGGUUGGAAGAAAAACUUAGAGUGAUGGAAAAUGCUGAUUACCAUCGCGGGGUCGAUGCCAAGGAUCUGAGUUUGGUCCCUGAUCUAGUACUCCCGUCAAAAUUUAAGACUCCAGAGUUUGAAAAGUACAAUGGGACUAGUUGUCCUGAAGCUCACAUCACAAUGUUCUGUCGAAGGAUGACAGGAUAUGUUAAUAACGACCAAUUAUUAAUUCAUUGCUUCCAAGAUAGUUUGAUCGGGUCAACAACUAAAUGGUACAAUAAAUUAAGUCGUGCUAAAAUCAAUUCAUGGAAAGACUUAACACAGGCUUUCAUGAAGUAGUAUGGCCACAUGACUGACAUGGCACCCGACAGAAUUACACUACAGAAUAUGGAAAAGAAACAAGGUGAGAGCUUCAGGCAAUAUGCCCAAAGAUGGAGAAAGGUAGCGACGCAAGUCCAACCACAUUUUCUAGAGAAAGAAACUACAUCGCUUUUCAUCAACACUCUGAAGGCCCCGUUCAUUACCCAUAUGUUAGGAAGCGCUAUCCUGAGCUUCUCAGACAUAGUAAUAUCCGGUGAGAUGAUUGAAAACGCAAUCAGAAGUGGGGAGAUAGAUGCAGGAGAAAACGCCAAGAGGUCAACCCCAAAUAGAAAUGAAAAUGAAGUGAAUAAUAUGAGUAAAGGGUACCCCAAAUUGGUCAACAUAGGCCAGCCGAGGCAAGAAUCCAACUCGAGGUCGAAUACAGAAAGGCUCCAGUUUACACCAAUCUCAAUGUCAUAUAAGGAGUUGUAUCAGAAUCUCUUUGAUGUACAUGUAGUGUCACCGUUCUACUCGGAACCAGUGCAACCUUCGUUCCCAAAAUAGUAUAAUGAGAAUGCUCAAUGCGAGUACCACGCGGGAAUAACGGGACACUCAAUCAAAAACUGCACUACUUUUAAAAAGUUGGUCGAAAAGUUCGUUGAAAUGGGAGUUAUAAAGUUUGACGAUUCCUCAGAACCAAAUCACUCUGAAAAUGCAGUAAAUACGAUUUGAAAGUGGGGGCAAGAGAGUUGCAAUGCCUUGAACAAGUCAAAAGCCUGGAAGGAAUAUCAGAGAAUCUGAAUGACAUAUCCAAAGAGGGAACUGGAGAAUAAUAGUUUCCAAACCGUUGCGUACUUGGGGAUGUUUUGAACAAUGGGACUGUAGAAGAAAUCCCUGUAUUUUUAGAGCUAAUCUAGAGUAAUAUUCGGAACACGCUUGUUGCUUUAAGCCUAGAAGCAAUAAAAAUCCUUUUGUGAAAUAGGCUUGUGUCCUAAGUCUUUAUUUCAAUAAAAUGCAUCUUUUUUGAGUAAAUUUUUUUUAUUUCAUUUCAUACUAUACAAAUAAUUGUUCAUAUAUUCUUUUGUUCUUUGGACUUUCUUUCAAAUAUUCAUGUAUACUUUAUCCAUGAUCAUAGAGUCAUUUAUUUUUUGGAAUCUACCUUCAGCGGGUCUCCAAAUAUCCAUGAUAUGAGUAACGCUGUCAUUGGCUUCGAGUCUCCUUUUGAGCAAAAUAUGGGCUUAAAGGGAUCUCAACACUUUGAAGAUGACAGAGAUGUAGACUAAUCUCUGAUUUGUUAAGGAUGGUAGAGUAAGAUGAAAACAGAUCAUCUCUUACAAAAAGACAGUGGACAGUAGGCCUAGGACAAGAGAAAGAGGCAAACAUCGGAGUCUGCAUCACCACAAAGGCAAAGCGAGAUGUCAUUGAGUCAAUUCCAAUAAUUUGAAGAUUUUUUACACAAUCGUAUCAAGAUACGCCUGGCUACUAAGACAUGAGGAUGUUGCAGGGUUUUGAAUGACAUAUGCUGGCCAGACUAAUCAUGAGAUUUGGGUACUGCUGGUCCACCAUAGAAAAGGAUUGCAUCAGUAUGCCGUAAAUGCCAAAUUUAUGGAGAGAAAAUUCAUGUGCCUCUUCAUUCUUUUGAUUUUCUCUGUAUGGGGUAUAGAGGUUAUUGGGCCGAUCUCGUCGAAGGCUUCCAGCAGGUAUCAAUUACUUCGCCAAGAGGGUGAAAGUCGCUUCAUAUGCCAAUCAUCAAAUCCUAAAAGAAGAAGAAGAAGAAGAAGAAGAAGAAGAUCAUGGAAAGAUGACUGAGACUUGUAAAGAUCGGCAUAAGAAGUCAUCAUGUACCCUCUAUGCUCAUCGAACAUCGACAAGAACCUUAGCUGGGGAAACACAUUGCUCAUUGGUUUAUAGGAUAGAAUCGGUUUUGAAAAUGAGAUUUCUUUUCUCCGAGUCUCGUUAGAGCUGAAAUUAGAAAAGGCAGAAUGGAUCCAAUCCUGAUAGGAUCAAUUGAAUUUGAAAAGAGAGGGUCGAAAGCUAUCUGUCGAAGUCCAAUGCACCGAAAAUGACUGAUGCGAGCUUACGAUGAAGAAGUUUAUCCUAGAAAAUUCCACGAAGGGAACUUGAUGUUAAAGAAUAUCCUUCCUAUACAAAAGGAUUUCAGAGGAAAGUGGAUGUCAAACUAGGAGGGACUUUAUGUAGUAAAAGGCCCAUUCUGGAGGAGCGUUGAUGGCAAAGAUUUGCCCAAUCCAGUGAAUUCAAAUCCAGUCAAGGAAUAUUUUACCUAAAAGGAAAGAGGCCAAGGUGAAAACCCACAAAGGGUGCCUUAAAAAAAAGGAACGAAAAGAGGAGAGGCCAUGGCGAAAACCCGCAAAGGGUACCUUGAGACCAAAGGGGAUUUGAGUUGAAAACCCGAAAAGGGCGACUCAAACUUGGAUCAAAAUGGGGCAUACAUUAGUCUUGCUAUGCCUGAAUUAACAAUGAAGAAGUAUGCUACGUCUUGGGGCAUUGACAAUGUACUCCGGAUCCCCUAAAUACAUAUUGAGCUCAGAAAGGUCCUCAAGAAGUUGGUACAGAGAAGCUCAAGCUGCGAUAUCUGGGGCAUCUAGCUUCCAUUUUGCCCACUUUGAAUUUGUUAUCUUUGAUUCUUUUCAAGAUAUGUCCGAAUAAAUUUUCUUCUUAUUGCAUUGCUAUCUUUAAUUAACUUAUUCAUUUUGAGUUAAUUUCCUUCUUAUUGCAUUUGCAAUCUUUGAUUAAUUUAUUCAUUUCGAGCUAUGCUCCCAAUCAAUUUUCUUCUUGUCCAUCGUUUUAAUAUUUUUCAAGCAUUUUUCAUUGAAAUAACGAUUAAUGGACCAAUAAUACUUUCACAAAAGAAGUUCUGCAUAUUACUUUAGGAGCUUCUAAAUAGUACAGGAGCCUAAAACAGGACCAUUAUUCAGAACUCACCAAGCCUAAGGGUUGAAAAUAUUUGAGCCCAAAUUGAAAUCAUCUCAUUGGGUUUCCUGUCAAAGAUAUUAGUUGAGCAGAAAAAUUACAUUGGUGUUAUAAUCCCAGCAAAGAACAAGCAAUGAGAUUAUUCUCGAGAAAAUAAAAAUGGUAUUUUGUAUUCAUACAGAUAUCAGGCAUAUACAUUUGUUCAUUACACCUGAGGAAUGGUGUAAUAGAUCAAAUUGAUUGAAGAAGACGCAAAUCCUAUACCUUUGAGCGGCAGCAGGAUGGAUAGAAGAAAUUAAAUGAUUAUUCCCCUGAAAUGCAGCAGGAAGAACAAACUUUAUGUCCUAGAAGGUACAGUGGAAGAAACUCUAAAAUUACAGCGGGGCAAGCUUGCUGAGCAAAAUGUGAUUGUUUCUUUGACUUUUCUGUCAAGAAUACCAACCGAACAAGAUGGCAGCGUAACACGUCAGUGAUAAUGUCCUGAUGAACAACGAGCGAUGACACCUUAAGCCUUUUUAAAGGGAUCAUUUUCAUUCAUAUAUCAUUCAUAACACAUCUAAUUAGGAGCAUUUGAUUCAUUUCGAUCAUAGCAUCCUAAUUAUUUGACAUAUUCAUAACGCAUCUAAUUAGGAGCAGUUGGUUCAUUUUGAUCAUAGCAUCCUAAUUCUUUGGCAUACGCAUAAAUACAUGGAACUGAUUCUACAGGUCAUGUUCCUAGAAUCAGUGAAUUCACCAGACCUUAACCCCCUAAGCAGUAGGGUAACAGGUUGAAUUCACAAGCCUUAACUCCCUAAGCAGUAGGGUAACAAGCUGAAGUUUAUAGAUCUUAUCACCCUAAGCAGUAGGGAAAUAGAUCGAAGAUGAUGAGCUUUAACCCUCUAAGCAGUAGAGUAACAAGCUAAAUUUACAGACCUUGACUCCCUAAGCAGUAGGGUAAUGGGCUGAAAAUUACAGAUCUUGUCUCCCUGAGGUCGCAGUGGAACAGAUCGAAUCCAGCAAGUCUUAUCUCCCUGAAGUCACAGUGGAGCAGACUGAAGAUUUACAGAUCUAACCCUCUAAGCAGUAGGGAAACAGAUCGAAAGUGAUGGGCUUCAACCCCCUAAGCAAUAGGGUAACAAGCCAAAUUUUCAAACCUUAAACCCCUAAACAGUAGGGUAAUAGGUUGAAUUUCCAGAUCUUAACCCCCUAAGAAGUAGGGAAACAGAUCGAAGACGAAGGGUCUUAAACCCUUAAGCAAUAAGGUAACAGACCAAAUUGCAGAUCCUAUCUCCCUAAGCAGUAGUGGAGCAGAUCGAAGACGAAGGGCCUUAAACCCUUAAGCAGUAGGGUAACAGGCUGAAUUUCUAGAUCUUAACCCCCUAAGCAGUAGGGUAACAAACCAAAUUGCAGAUCUUAUCUCCCUAAGCAGUAGUGGAGCAGAUCGAAGACGAAGGGCCUUAAACCCUUAAGUAGUAGGGUAACAGGCUGAAUUUCCAGAUCUUAACCCCAUAAGCAGUAGGGUAACAGACCGAAGACGAUGGGCCUUAAACCCCUAAGCAAUAGGGUACCAGGCUGAAAAUUACAACUUUCUUCUCCCUGAAAUGGCACUGGAGAGGCUCGAAGCCACUAUUCGUAUCUCCUUGAAGUUUCAACGGAUCUUUCUCCUUGAAAUGGCAUUGGAACAGCUCGAAGCCACAACAGAUCUCAUCGAAGUUUUAGUAGAGAAAAUUGAGCCUACGAAUCUCUGAAGUUUCAGUGUAGUAGGUCGAGGCUACAAAUCCCUUCUACCUGAAUUCUUAUUUCCUCAAAGUUUUAGUAGAGAAGAUCGUAGCUACAAAUCUCUUCUCCUUGAAUCUCCGAAGUUCCAGUGGAGUAAAUCAUAGCUGUAAGCCUUAUCCCCCUGAAGUCGUAGUGGGGCAGGUUGAAGUUACCAGUUUUAUCUUCUUGAAUUGCAGUGAAGUGGAUCGAAGCAACAAGAUGUGGUGGACUAGAAUAAGGCGACCUGAAGAAGAGGAGCACUGAAGAAGUCAAGAAUCGGUGAGACCGGGCAAAUUUGGUCUUUCUUAAAAGUCUUUGCUCUAUUCUCGUUACACGACAACAAGUAAAGAGGGGCAGCUGUAUAGCCCAAAUUAUGCCCGGCCCAAAACUAAACUCUAGACCCAAUUACAAAGCCCAAAUCAGCCCACAACCUUAACUAAUUUUCAGCCAAAAAGGAAAACCCUAGCCACCAAAGUCUGUCACCACCCACACCUCCACUUGCUCCACUUGCACUGCCUCCAUCCCAUCAUCUCAUCACCUGCAAAACAAACAGAGAGCAGAAACACGCAAAGCAAAAAAGGGGAAACAAGCAGAAGGCAGAGAAAUCAUGUAAUCGACUAUAAAGUCGAAAGAGAAAAUAAUAAAAAGGGGGGAUUUAUAUUUUCAAAAGGGGGGAACCGAUUGUAUUUUUAAGGGGAAUUUGUUUCAAGAAAUCGAUUUGGAUACAAAUAAUAAAAGGAGACAGUUGAAGAAGGGAUCAAAAGGGGCUAAGGUCUUUUGAUACUCUCUUAUUUUUUCUUUCAAAAAAUGUUAUUCCUCUAUUUUUUUCUCAUUUUUUUUUCUAUUUUACGAAGUUAUUUACAUACAUAUAUAAGAAUGCUAUAAAAAAGAGGAAAAGGAAAGUACCUGGAGUGUUCGGCCACCGUCCAUGGCGGAGGAGUAGCAGUCGAGGCGACGGCGCAACAAAUGGGUUUCUUUUGAAACCCUAGCAGAGAAAAAAAUGGG
Molecule: long non-coding RNA, 9823 nt
Filed under: Gossypium barbadense (sea-island cotton)
Lineage: Eukaryota; Viridiplantae; Streptophyta; Magnoliopsida; Malvales; Malvaceae
Description: long non-coding RNA (GBAR_LNC008646)
Source: RNAcentral